Non-coding RNA from Picea glauca (white spruce), 121 nucleotides. The record is from Rfam. NCBI's taxonomy places the organism in Eukaryota, Viridiplantae, Streptophyta, Pinopsida, Pinales, Pinaceae.
ACAUGCCUACAACAUAGCGUUAAUGCAUUAGAUCCCAUUAUAACUCCACAGUUAAGUGCGCUCAAGCUAGAGUAGUACUGGGAUGGGUGAGCAUUUGCGAAGUCCUAGUGUUUUACAUGCC